RNAcentral lists this ribosomal RNA (562 nucleotides) under uncultured Prevotella sp. RNAcentral describes it as "bacterial SSU rRNA". It matches the Rfam family "Bacterial small subunit ribosomal RNA", at positions 92 to 654 of the family's 1533-position model. The record is from RNAcentral. Lineage: Bacteria; Pseudomonadati; Bacteroidota; Bacteroidia; Bacteroidales; Prevotellaceae.
CGACCGGCGCACGGGUGAGUACACGUAUCCAACCUUCCGGUAACUCCGGUACAGCCUUUCGAAAGAAAGAUUAAUCCCGGAUAGUAUGGUGAUUCCGCAUGGUUUCUCCAUUAAAGGAUUCCGGUUACCGAUGGGGAUGCGUUCCAUUAGGCAGUUGGCGGGGUAACGGCCCACCAAACCUACGAUGGAUAGGGGUUCUGAGAGGAAGGUCCCCCACAUUGGAACUGAGACACGGUCCAAACUCCUACGGGAGGCAGCAGUGAGGAAUAUUGGUCAAUGGGCGGAAGCCUGAACCAGCCAAGUAGCGUGAAGGAUGACUGCCCUAUGGGUUGUAAACUUCUUUUAUAAGGGAAUAAUUGCGGGUACGCGUACCCGUUUGCAUGUACCUUAUGAAUAAGGAUCGGCUAACUCCGUGCCAGCAGCCGCGGUAAUACGGAGGAUCCGAGCGUUAUCCGGAUUUAUUGGGUUUAAAGGGAGCGUAGGCGGGCGCUUAAGUCAGCUGUGAAAGUUUGGGGCUCAACCUUAAAAUUGCAGUUGAUACUGGGUGCCUUGAGUGCAGUAU